RNAcentral lists this ribosomal RNA (253 nucleotides) under uncultured bacterium. RNAcentral's name for it is "partial 16S ribosomal RNA". It matches the Rfam family "Bacterial small subunit ribosomal RNA", at positions 524 to 776 of the family's 1533-position model. The record is from RNAcentral.
UACAGAGGUGGCAAGCGUUGUUCGGAAUUACUGGGCGUAAAGGGCGCGUAGGCGGCCAUCUAAGUCAGACGUGAAAUCCCCCGGCUCAACCUGGGAACUGCGUCUGAUACUGGACGGCUGGAGUUUGGGAGAGGGAUGUAGAAUUCCAGGUGUAGCGGUGAAAUGCGUAGAUAUCUGGAGGAAUACCGGUGGCGAAGGCGGCAUCCUGGACCAAUACUGACGCUGAGGCGCGAAAGCUAGGGGAGCAAACGGG